GAGGAAAUUGGUUAUGCUGUUCGCUUUGAGGACUGCACAGGACCUAAUACCGUGAUCAAGUACAUGACUGAUGGUUUACUUCUCAGGGAAAUUUUGAUUGACAAGAGUCUGUCUCAGUACUCAGUCAUUAUGCUUGAUGAGGCUCAUGAAAGGACGAUUUACACUGAUGUUCUUUUUGGCCUGCUGAAGCAACUUCUAAAAAGGAGAUCUGAUCUCCGUUUGAUUGUAACAUCUGCCACGCUUGAUGCAGAAAAGUUUUCUGGCUAUUUCUUUAGCUGC
RNAcentral lists this unclassified non-coding RNA (279 nucleotides) under Hevea brasiliensis (rubber tree). The record is from RNAcentral. Lineage: Eukaryota; Viridiplantae; Streptophyta; Magnoliopsida; Malpighiales; Euphorbiaceae.